GAUGAACGCUGGCGGCGUGCCUAAUACAUGCAAGUCGAGCGAACAGACGAGAAGCUUGCUCCUCUGACGUUAGCGGCGGACGGGUGAGUAACACGUGGAUAACCUACCUAUAAGACUGGGAUAACUUCGGGAAACCGUAGCUAAUACCGGAUAAUAUUUUGAACCGCAUGGUUCAAUAGUGAAAGACGGUUUUGCUGUCACUUAUAGAUGGAUCCGCGCCGCAUUAGCUAGUUGGUAAGGUAACGGCUUACCAAGGCGACGAUGCGUAGCCGACCUGAGAGGGUGAUCGGCCACACUGGAACUGAGACACGGUCCAGACUCCUACGGGAGGCAGCAGUAGGGAAUCUUCCGCAAUGGGCGAAAGCCUGACGGAGCAACGCCGCGUGAGUGAUGAAGGUCUUCGGAUCGUAAAACUCUGUUAUUAGGGAAGAACAAAUGUGUAAGUAACUAUGCACGUCUUGACGGUACCUAAUCAGAAAGCCACGGCUAACUACGUG
RNAcentral lists this ribosomal RNA (497 nucleotides) under uncultured bacterium. RNAcentral's name for it is "partial 16S ribosomal RNA". It matches the Rfam family "Bacterial small subunit ribosomal RNA", at positions 28 to 507 of the family's 1533-position model. The record is from RNAcentral.